This 240-nucleotide ribosomal RNA is filed under the name uncultured Lactobacillus sp. RNAcentral describes it as "partial 16S ribosomal RNA". It matches the Rfam family "Bacterial small subunit ribosomal RNA", at positions 122 to 354 of the family's 1533-position model. Lineage: Bacteria; Bacillati; Bacillota; Bacilli; Lactobacillales; Lactobacillaceae. The record is from RNAcentral.
UAACCUGCCCAAGAGAUCGGGAUAACACCUGGAAACAGAUGCUAAUACCGGAUAACAAUAGAUGAUGCCUAUCAACUGUUUAAAAGAUGGUUCUGCUAUCACUCUUGGAUGGACCUGCGGUGCAUUAGCUAGUUGGUAGGGUAACGGCCUACCAAGGCGAUGAUGCAUAGCCGAGUUGAGAUACUGAUCGGCCACAUUGGGACUGAGACACGGCCCAAACUCCUACGGGAGGCAGCAGGC